Molecule: long non-coding RNA, 490 nt
Filed under: Neogobius melanostomus (round goby)
Lineage: Eukaryota; Metazoa; Chordata; Actinopteri; Gobiiformes; Gobiidae
Description: lncRNA (ENSNMLG00000000702.1)
Source: RNAcentral
AAACUUAUCAAAGAAGUUUAAAGAAGAGUUAAAAUUCAUCAGUGCAAAAGUACUUGAGCAAACAAGAGGGAAGGCUUCAAUCUUUGCUCACUACCAGGAUGCCAAAGAUGAGUCCCUGACUGAAAAUGCACAAGAUAUUGAUCUACGUGCAACUGCCAUUUUCAUGCCAAUAUUUUUCAAAGAGAAGAUCAAUCAUUUCAUUACUCUUGGAGAGCAAGACCCAAAGCAUCCGUAUCCUAGUAUUCAGCUGCUGGAAGGAGACUGGAAAAAGGCGUUCGCCACCAGAGUCCCAACCGUGGUAAAAGUGGACAGCGUUGAGGUGUGCCGUUGUUCAGGCAUUGAAGAUGGAGUCAUCUCUGCAUUCUGCACAUACUUCAUUUUCAACAUUCAGUAUCCACACUGCCUCAAGAACACUUUGAAUUUCCUUCAAAGAUACAUUGCAAAAAUAUCACUGGAGGGGGACCAACCUUUGCCAAUUACUGUGAGCCGC